Molecule: long non-coding RNA, 261 nt
Filed under: Trifolium pratense (red clover)
Lineage: Eukaryota; Viridiplantae; Streptophyta; Magnoliopsida; Fabales; Fabaceae
Description: long non-coding RNA (TPRA_LNC004746)
Source: RNAcentral
UUUAAAUCAAACGAUAAAUUUUGUAAAAUUCGUACCGAUUAUAAUAUAAAUCGCUACUUGUACACGAUGGACAACUUAAAACUAAAUAUAAUCUGCACACAUUUAGGCACCUAAAUUUCAAUAUAACCUGCCUAAAUCACAUCACAUAGCACUUAAAUUUCAUUUAUGCCGCUUACCCAAUUAAAUUUCAUUUAUCCCGCCUAUAUCACUUUCUAAUCCCUCCAACCAUUCAAUUUCCACUUUUGCAUAACAUUAAAAAAA